CAGCCAUGCGCCUGGGCACACCAAGAGUGCAUGCUUAUGCAGUUUGAAAAGAAAACCCAUUGAAGAACAUUCAGAGGAAGUAAAAAUGAUGAAGCAUGUGCUGGCGGCAAUUGUCGGUCUUUGUUUCAGAGGCAGCUGUGGUCUUAGGAGAAAAAAGCACCAGAUGUGAAUCUAGACAGUCUCUUCCUGUGUCAAAUGGACAGCAACUAGGAGUGCGGGCGGCCGAAUUUUCGGAUUUCUCCACAUUCCUGACGAACGAAGAGACUGACAUGCCAGUUUACAGCACUGUCUUUGCUGUAGACAUAAACAACGUCACUUAGAAAUUGACAUGGAGAUUUGAUGUCACCAUGGAGACGCUGAUCCCACUGCUUUCCUGGUCCUCUCCUAUUGCUUGCCUGAGCCAUUCCUGAAGCCUCCACCCUCACUCUGUCCGUUCCAUCCCCCACAGCAGCCUUCAGAGGAAUCUUUUAAACAUUGGGGCUUCCCUGGUGGCGCAGUGGUUGAGAAUCUGCCUGCCGAUGCAGGGGACGCGGGUUCGAGCCCUGGUCUGGGAGGAUCCCACAUGCUGCGGAGCUACUGGGCCCGUGAGCCACAACUACUGAGCCUGCGCAUCUGGAGCCGUGCUCUGCAACGAAAGGCCGCGAGAGUGAGAGUCCCGCGCACCGCGAUGAGGAGUGGUCCCCGCUCGCCACAACUGGAGAAAGCCCUCGCACAGAAACGAAGACCCAACACAGCCAAAAAUAAAUAAAUAAAUAAAUAAAUUUAUUUAAAAAAAAACAAAACAAAACAUCCCAGUGAGUGUGAAGUGAUAUCUCACUGUGAUUUUAACUUGCAUUUCCCUGAUAACUAAUGAUGUUGAGCAUCUUUUCAUGUGCUUAUUGGCCAUUUGUGUAUCAUCUUUGAAGACAUGUCUAUUCAAAUUCUUUGCCCAAAAAUGGAGUUGUUUGUCUUUUUGUCUUUGAGUUGUAAUUCUUUAUAUACUUUGUGUAUUAAUCUCUUAUCAGAUAUAUGAUUUGCAAAUCUUUUCUCUCAUUCUGCGAGUUGCCUUUUUACUCUCUUGAUUGUUUCUUUUCGUACACAAAAGUUUUUAAUUUUUAUGAAUUUCAUUUUAUAUAUUUUUUUCUUUUGUUGGCUGUGUUUUUGGAGUCAUAUCCACGGAAUCAUUGCCAAAUCCAAAGUCGUGAAGCUUUUGCCCUAUGUUUUCUUAUUUUUUUUCCUCUUACGUUCAGGUCUCUGAUCCAUUUUGAGUUAAUUUUUUUUAAGUCUUUAUUGAAUUUCUUACAUAUUGCUUCUUUUUGUGUGUGUUUUGGUUUUUUGUCCACGAGGCAUGUUGGAUCUUAGCUCCCCGACCAGGGAUCGAACCCACACCCCUGCAUUGGAAGGCAAAGUCUUAACCACUGGACCGCCAGCGAAGUCCUGUUUUGAGUUAAUUUUUGCAUGUGAUGUUAGGUAAAGUUCAACUUCAUUCUUUUGCACGUGGAGAUCCAGUUUUUCCAGAACCAGCUGUUUUGUUGAAAACCCUGUCCUUUUCCCCAUUGAAUGAUCUUAGCAUCUCUAUCAAAAAUCAUUUGACCAUAUAUUUGAGGGUUUAUUUCUGGGAUCUUUAUUCCAUUGGUCUAUUUGUCUGUUUUCAUGCCAAUGCCACACUAUUCUGAUUAUUGCACCUUUGUAAGAAGUUUUGAAAUCAGGAAGUGUGAGUCCUCUAAAUUUGUUCUUCUUUUUCAAGAUUGUUUUGGCUAUUCAGGUUCCCUUGAGAUUCCAUAUAAAUUUUAUUGAUUUUAUUUUUUAAUUUUUUGGCCAUGCCACAUGGCAUGCAGGAUCUUAUUUCCCCGACAAGGGAUCAAACCCAUGCCCCCUGCAGUGGAAGCAUGGAGUCUUAACCACUGGACUGCCAGGGAAGUCCCAAGAUUCCAUAUAAAUUUUAGAGUAGGUUUUUUAUUUCUGCAAAAAAAUGUCAUUGCAAUUUUUAUAGGAGUAACAUUGAAUCUGUAUAUGCCUUUGGGUAGUAUUGUCAUCUUAACAAUAUAAGUUUUCAAACUAUGAACUCAGAUAUCUUUCCAUCUAUUUAUAUCUUCUUUAAUUUCUUUCAGCAACAUUUUGUAGUUUUCAACGUACAAGCAUUUUCCCUCCUUGGUUAAGUAUGUUCCUAAGUAUUUUAUUCUUUUUGAUGCUGUUGUAAGUAGAAUUGUUUUCUUAAGUUUCUUUUUGGGUUGUUCAUUGUUAGUGUAUAGAAACAUAACUGAUUUCUACAUGUUUAUUUUGUGUUCUGCUACUUUGCUGAAUUUGUUUAUUAGUUCCAACAGGGGUUUUUUGUUUGUUUUUUGUUUUGGUGUGUGUGGAGUCUUUAUGGGGUUUUCUACAUAUAAGAUCAUGUCAUCUGUGAAGAGAGAUCAUUUUACUUCUUCCUUUCCAAUUUAGAAGCCUUUUAUUUCUUUUUCUUGUCUAAUUGCUUUGGCUAGGCAUUCUAGUACUAAGUUGAAUGGAAUUGGUGAAAGCAGACAUCCUUGCUGUUAUAGACUGAGUGUGCCCAACCCCACAUUCAUAUAUUGAAAUCCCAACCCACAAUGUGAUGAUAUUAGGAGGUAAGGCCUUUGGGAAGUGAUUAGGUCAUGAGGGUAGAGCCCUCAUGAAUGGGAUUCCUGCCUUUAUAAAGAGAUCCCAGAGAGCUCUCUUGCCCUCAUUUCACCAUGUGAGGACACAACCAGAAGGCAGCUGUUUGCAACCCAGAGGAGAGCCUUCACCAGAGUCUGACCAUGCUGGCACCCUGA
Balaenoptera acutorostrata (minke whale) is the source of this 2768-nucleotide long non-coding RNA. RefSeq lists it as uncharacterized. The transcript is spliced from 4 exons. Lineage: Eukaryota; Metazoa; Chordata; Mammalia; Artiodactyla; Balaenopteridae. The record is from RefSeq and is a predicted model, not a curated record.